UGAGGAAUAUUGGUCAAUGGGCGAGAGCCUGAACCAGCCAAGUAGCGUGCAGGAUGACGGCCCUAUGGGUUGUAAACUGCUUUUAUAUGGGAAUAAAGUGAGGGACGUGUCCCUUAUUGCAUGUACCAUACGAAUAAGGACCGGCUAAUUCCGUGCCAGCAGCCGCGGUAAUACGGAAGGUCCAGGCGUUAUCCGGAUUUAUUGGGUUUAAAGGGAGCGUAGGCUGGAGAUUAAGUGUGUUGUGAAAUGUAGACGCUCAACGUCUGAAUUGCAGCGCAUACUGGUUUCCUUGAGUACGCACAACGUUGGCGGAAUUCGUCGUGUAGCGGUGAAAUGCUUAGAUAUGACGAAGAACUCCGAUUGCGAAGGCAGCUGACGGGAGCGCAACUGACGCUUAAGCUCGAAGGUGCGGGUAUCAAACAGG
Molecule: ribosomal RNA, 424 nt
Filed under: Verrucomicrobiota bacterium
Lineage: Bacteria; Pseudomonadati; Verrucomicrobiota
Description: Verrucomicrobia bacterium partial 16S ribosomal RNA
Rfam family: Bacterial small subunit ribosomal RNA
Source: RNAcentral